Molecule: ribosomal RNA, 242 nt
Filed under: uncultured bacterium
Lineage: Bacteria
Description: partial 16S ribosomal RNA
Rfam family: Bacterial small subunit ribosomal RNA
Source: RNAcentral
UCGACCGGCGCACGGGUGAGUAUCGCGUAUCCAACCUGCCCUUUACUUGGGGAUACCCCGUUGAAAGACGGCCUAAUACCCGAUGUAAUUCAUUGAUGGCAUCAGAUAUGAAUAAAAGAUUAUCGGUAAAGGAUGGGGAUGCGUCUGAUUAGCUUGUUGGUGAGGUAACGGCUCACCAAGGCAACGAUCAGUAGGGGUUCUGAGAGGAAGGUCCCCCACAUUGGAACUGAGACACGGUCCAA